GUGCCAAUGGUGUACGAGGUAUCACACUGCGUAGCAUAACGCAGAGAAGCGGGUUCGAGUCCUGCAAGGCACUCCA
RNAcentral lists this transfer RNA (76 nucleotides) under Caudoviricetes sp. RNAcentral's name for it is "tRNA-OTHER". The record is from RNAcentral. Lineage: Duplodnaviria; Heunggongvirae; Uroviricota; Caudoviricetes.